Molecule: ribosomal RNA, 424 nt
Filed under: uncultured eukaryotic phytoplankton
Lineage: Eukaryota
Description: bacterial SSU rRNA
Rfam family: Bacterial small subunit ribosomal RNA
Source: RNAcentral
GGAAUUUUCCGCAAUGGGCGAAAGUCUGACGGAGCGACGCUGCGUGAAGGAUGACGGCCUGCGGGUUGUAAACUUCUUUUCUCGAAGAAGAAGCUCUGACGGUAUUCGAGGAAUAAGCAUCGGCUAACUCCGUGCCAGCAGCCGCGGUAGUACGGAGGAUGCAAGUGUUAUUCGGAAUGAUUGGGCGUAAAGCGUCUGUAGGCUGUAUAGAAAGUCUUUUGUUAAAUGCCUCGGCUCAACCGAGAUCCAGCAAAGGAAACUUCUAUACUUGAGGGAAGUAGAGGUACAGGGAAUUCCCGGUGGAGCGGUGAAAUGCGUAGAUAUCGGGAGGAACACCAAUAUGGCGAAGGCACUGUACUGGGCUUUACCUGACGCUCAGAGACGAAAGCUAAAGGAGUGAUUAGGAUUAGAUACCCCAGUAGUC